UACGUAGGGUGCGAGCGUUAAUCGGAAUUACUGGGCGUAAAGCGUGCGCAGGCGGUUCGCUGUGUCCGAUGUGAAAGACCCGGGCUUAACCUGGGAAUGGCAUUGGAAACUGGCGGGCUUGAGUGCGGCAGAGGGGGGUGGAAUUCCGCGUGUAGCAGUGAAAUGCGUAGAGAUGCGGGGGAACACCGAUGGCGAAGGCAGCCCCCUGGGUCGACACUGACGCUCAUGCACGAAAGCGUGGGGAGCAAACAGG
Molecule: ribosomal RNA, 253 nt
Filed under: uncultured bacterium
Lineage: Bacteria
Description: partial 16S ribosomal RNA
Rfam family: Bacterial small subunit ribosomal RNA
Source: RNAcentral